RNAcentral lists this ribosomal RNA (254 nucleotides) under uncultured bacterium. RNAcentral's name for it is "partial 16S ribosomal RNA". It matches the Rfam family "Bacterial small subunit ribosomal RNA", at positions 524 to 776 of the family's 1533-position model. The record is from RNAcentral.
GACGUAGGGCGCGAGCGUUGUCCGGAUUUAUUGGGCGUAAAGAGCUCGUAGGCGGCUUGUCGCGUCGUCCGUGAAAACUUGGGGCUCAACCCCCAAGCUUGCGGUCGAUACGGGCAGGCUCGAGUUCGGUAGGGGAGACUGGAAUUCCUGGUGUAGCGGUGAAAUGCGCAGAUAUCAGGAGGAACACCGGUGGCGAAGGCGGGUCUCUGGGCCGAUACUGACGCUGAGGAGCGAAAGCGUGGGGAGCGAACAGG